CCUUUAGGUGUACCUGCGGUAAGGAUCAUUUCGUGAUAUACGAAAAUCUCCUUUUUCUAGUCUCUAUAUACACCCUUUUGUCAACUCUCAUACCUUUUGUUUGCUUCCACUAGGACAGAUGGGAUACGCCCAGUUGCGCGUCCAUCCUCUGGCCUCUUCACGGAGGACGGGGAGUGCUAGUAGGAAAGAAUACAAUUAAAACUUUGUCUUUAGAAAACUUGUCUGACAAUAUAUUUUUUAAUAAAAUAAAACUUUCAACAACGGAUCUCUAGGCUCUUGCAUCGAUGAAGAACGCAGUGAAAUGCGAUAAGUAAUGUGAAUUGCAGAAUCUCGUGAAUCAUUGAAUCUUUGAACGCACAUUGCGCCCUAUGGUAUUCCGUAGGGCAUGCCUGUCUGAGCGUCAGCUCGUCUUCUCAAGCUCUUUUGCUUGGAUAACAUUGGAUCAGCAAUACAAGCUCCUUUUGGGGUCUGUGUGCCUUCCAGAAAUUAAUAGGCGGUACGGUUCUAGCAAACCAGACGUAAUAAUAUUCUUAUCUAUCGUUAAUUUGUUUAAACUGUUGCUUGCCUUCUAAUCCACAUCUUUUUCAAGAUGACCUCAGAUCAGGUAGGGAUACCCGCUGAACUUAAGCAUAUCAAGGGCCGGGGGGAAAAAAAA
Molecule: ribosomal RNA, 655 nt
Filed under: Iodophanus testaceus
Lineage: Eukaryota; Fungi; Ascomycota; Pezizomycetes; Pezizales; Pezizaceae
Description: eukaryotic LSU rRNA
Rfam family: 5.8S ribosomal RNA (bases 250-403)
Source: RNAcentral